Molecule: non-coding RNA, 152 nt
Organism: Leptonychotes weddellii (Weddell seal)
Lineage: Eukaryota; Metazoa; Chordata; Mammalia; Carnivora; Phocidae
Source: RefSeq, a predicted model, not a curated record
CAGUGAAGGUCUGCUGGUGAUGAAUUCUUCCAGCUUUGAUGUUGCUCCAGAGUGUUCUCUUUUGCACUGUUUCCAGUGAGAAGUCUGCUGUAAUCUUUGUCUUUGUUUCUUUGUAGAGAAAGACACAGCGAGAGAGGGGAACACAAGCAGGG